Molecule: ribosomal RNA, 1496 nt
Filed under: Lactiplantibacillus argentoratensis
Lineage: Bacteria; Bacillati; Bacillota; Bacilli; Lactobacillales; Lactobacillaceae
Description: partial 16S ribosomal RNA
Rfam family: Bacterial small subunit ribosomal RNA
Source: RNAcentral
GACGAACGCUGGCGGCGUGCCUAAUACAUGCAAGUCGAACGAACUCUGGUAUUGAUUGGUGCUUGCAUCAUGAUUUACAUUUGAGUGAGUGGCGAACUGGUGAGUAACACGUGGGAAACCUGCCCAGAAGCGGGGGAUAACACCUGGAAACAGAUGCUAAUACCGCAUAACAACUUGGACCGCAUGGUCCGAGCUUGAAAGAUGGCUUCGGCUAUCACUUUUGGAUGGUCCCGCGGCGUAUUAGCUAGAUGGUGGGGUAACGGCUCACCAUGGCAAUGAUACGUAGCCGACCUGAGAGGGUAAUCGGCCACAUUGGGACUGAGACACGGCCCAAACUCCUACGGGAGGCAGCAGUAGGGAAUCUUCCACAAUGGACGAAAGUCUGAUGGAGCAACGCCGCGUGAGUGAAGAAGGGUUUCGGCUCGUAAAACUCUGUUGUUAAAGAAGAACAUAUCUGAGAGUAACUGUUCAGGUAUUGACGGUAUUUAACCAGAAAGCCACGGCUAACUACGUGCCAGCAGCCGCGGUAAUACGUAGGUGGCAAGCGUUGUCCGGAUUUAUUGGGCGUAAAGCGAGCGCAGGCGGUUUUUUAAGUCUGAUGUGAAAGCCUUCGGCUCAACCGAAGAAGUGCAUCGGAAACUGGGAAACUUGAGUGCAGAAGAGGACAGUGGAACUCCAUGUGUAGCGGUGAAAUGCGUAGAUAUAUGGAAGAACACCAGUGGCGAAGGCGGCUGUCUGGUCUGUAACUGACGCUGAGGCUCGAAAGUAUGGGUAGCAAACAGGAUUAGAUACCCUAGUAGUCCAUACCGUAAACGAUGAAUGCUAAGUGUUGGAGGGUUUCCGCCCUUCAGUGCCGCAGCUAACGCAUUAAGCAUUCCGCCUGGGGAGUACGGCCGCAAGGCUGAAACUCAAAGGAAUUGACGGGGGCCCGCACAAGCGGUGGAGCAUGUGGUUUAAUUCGAAGCUACGCGAAGAACCUUACCAGGUCUUGACAUACUAUGCAAAUCUAAGAGAUUAGACGUUCCCUUCGGGGACAUGGAUACAGGUGGUGCAUGGUUGUCGUCAGCUCGUGUCGUGAGAUGUUGGGUUAAGUCCCGCAACGAGCGCAACCCUUAUUAUCAGUUGCCAGCAUUAAGUUGGGCACUCUGGUGAGACUGCCGGUGACAAACCGGAGGAAGGUGGGGAUGACGUCAAAUCAUCAUGCCCCUUAUGACCUGGGCUACACACGUGCUACAAUGGAUGGUACAACGAGUUGCGAACUCGCGAGAGUAAGCUAAUCUCUUAAAGCCAUUCUCAGUUCGGAUUGUAGGCUGCAACUCGCCUACAUGAAGUCGGAAUCGCUAGUAAUCGCGGAUCAGCAUGCCGCGGUGAAUACGUUCCCGGGCCUUGUACACACCGCCCGUCACACCAUGAGAGUUUGUAACACCCAAAGUCGGUGGGGUAACCUUUUAGGAACCAGCCGCCUAAGGUGGGACAGAUGAUUAGGGUGAAGUCGU